GGUGGCGUGUCCGAGUGCUCGAAGGAACCGGCCUGCAAAGCCGUUAUUACACACCGUGGGUUGGAAUCCCACCGCCACCUCCA
This 83-nucleotide transfer RNA is filed under the name Burkholderia cenocepacia. RNAcentral describes it as "tRNA-Cys". It matches the Rfam family "tRNA". From Rfam's summary of the family: Transfer RNA (tRNA) molecules are approximately 80 nucleotides in length. Their secondary structure includes four short double-helical elements and three loops (D, anti-codon, and T loops). Further hydrogen bonds mediate the characteristic L-shaped molecular structure. tRNAs have two regions of fundamental functional importance: the anti-codon, which is responsible for specific mRNA codon recognition, and the 3' end, to which the tRNAs corresponding amino acid is attached (by aminoacyl-tRNA synthetases). tRNAs cope with the degeneracy of the genetic code in two manners: having more than one tRNA (with a specific anti-codon) for a particular amino acid; and 'wobble' base-pairing, i.e. permitting non-standard base-pairing at the 3rd anti-codon position. The record is from RNAcentral. Lineage: Bacteria; Pseudomonadati; Pseudomonadota; Betaproteobacteria; Burkholderiales; Burkholderiaceae.